GACGAACGCUGGCGGCGUGCUUAACACAUGCAAGUCGAACGGAAAGGCCCUGCUUUUGUGGGGUGCUCGAGUGGCGAAAGGGUGAGUAACACGUGAGUAACCUGCCCUUGACUUUGGGAUAACUUCAGGAAACUGGGGCUAAUACCGGAUAGGAACUCCUGCUGCAUGGUGGGGGUUGGAAAGUUUCGGCGUUUGGGGAUGGACUCGCGGCUUAUCAGCUUGUUGGUGGGGUAGUGGCUUACCAAGGCUUUGACGGGUAGCCGGCCUGAGAGGGUGACCGGCCACAUUGGGACUGAGAUACGGCCCAGACUCCUACGGGAGGCAGCAGUGGGGAAUAUUGCACAAUGGGCGGAAGCCUGAUGCAGCAACGCCGCGUGCGGGAUGACUGCCUUCGGGUUGUAAACCGCUUUCGCCUGUGACGAAGCGUGAGUGACGGUAAUGGGUAAAGAAGCACCGGCUAACUACGUG
This 468-nucleotide ribosomal RNA is filed under the name uncultured bacterium. Its description in RNAcentral is "partial 16S ribosomal RNA". It matches the Rfam family "Bacterial small subunit ribosomal RNA", at positions 28 to 507 of the family's 1533-position model. The record is from RNAcentral.